This 453-nucleotide ribosomal RNA is filed under the name uncultured bacterium. Its description in RNAcentral is "bacterial SSU rRNA". It matches the Rfam family "Bacterial small subunit ribosomal RNA", at positions 8 to 507 of the family's 1533-position model. The record is from RNAcentral.
AGAGUUUGAUCAUGGCUCAGAGCGAACGCUGGCGGCAGGCCUAACACAUGCAAGUCGAACGGAUCCUUCGGGAUUAGUGGCGGACGGGUGAGUAACACGUGGGAACGUGCCCUUUGGUUCGGAACAACUCAGGGAAACUUGAGCUAAUACCGGAUGUGCCCUUCGGGGGAAAGAUUUAUCGCCAUUGGAGCGGCCCGCGUCUGAUUAGCUAGUUGGUGAGGUAAAGGCUCACCAAGGCGACGAUCAGUAGCUGGUCUGAGAGGAUGAUCAGCCACAUUGGGACUGAGACACGGCCCAAACUCCUACGGGAGGCAGCAGUGGGGAAUCUUGCGCAAUGGGCGAAAGCCUGACGCAGCCAUGCCGCGUGAAUGAUGAAGGUCUUAGGGUUGUAAAGCUCUUUUGCCAGGGAAGAUGAUGACUGUACCUGGAGAAUAAGCCCCGGCUAACUUCGUG